Molecule: non-coding RNA, 72 nt
Organism: Bos taurus (domestic cattle)
Lineage: Eukaryota; Metazoa; Chordata; Mammalia; Artiodactyla; Bovidae
Source: Rfam
UCCCUGGCAGUCCAGUGGUGAGGACAUUACACUUUCACUGCUGUGGCCUAGGUUCAAUCCCUGGACAGGGAA